This 468-nucleotide ribosomal RNA is filed under the name uncultured bacterium. RNAcentral's name for it is "partial 16S ribosomal RNA". It matches the Rfam family "Bacterial small subunit ribosomal RNA", at positions 28 to 507 of the family's 1533-position model. The record is from RNAcentral.
GAUGAACGCUGGCGGCGUGCUUAACACAUGCAAGUCGAACGGAAAGGCCCUGCUUUUGUGGGGUGCUCGAGUGGCGAACGGGUGAGUAACACGUGAGUAACCUGCCCUUGACUUUGGGAUAACUUCAGGAAACUGGGGCUAAUACCGGAUAGGAGCUCCUGCUGCAUGGUGGGGGUUGGAAAGUUUCGGCGGUUGGGGAUGGACUCGCGGCUUAUCAGCUUGUUGGUGGGGUAGUGGCUUACCAAGGCUUUGACGGGUAGCCGGCCUGAGAGGGUGACCGGCAACAUUGGGACUGAGAUACGGCCCAGACUCCUACGGGAGGCAGCAGUGGGGAAUAUUGCACAAUGGGCGGAAGCCUGAUGCAGCAACGCCGCGUGCGGGAUGACGGCCGUCGGGUUGUAAACCGCUUUCGCCUGUGACGAAGCGUGAGUGACGGUAAUGGGUAAAGAAGCACCGGCUAACUAAGUG